Molecule: long non-coding RNA, 5590 nt
Filed under: Homo sapiens (human)
Lineage: Eukaryota; Metazoa; Chordata; Mammalia; Primates; Hominidae
Description: HSALNT0153105
Source: RNAcentral
ACACCAAAUGCCUUACAGCAGAGCUACAGUUUAUUCUCUCUUUGAAGAAAUUCCUCUCCUGAUAGAAUGAAUCUUAGAGUAGAAUAUUACAACAUUGAUUUCUUACACUACCUAUGUGUCAUUUCUUCCUUAUUUCCUUAAUUGCUGGUUCCCUCAACAUUGAAGAGAGCAGAUCAAUUGGGUUAAUACUAGAGAUUCCUGGGAGCCAGAGUACCAUUGAUUUGUCAGCAGGAGCAGAAUCUUACCUUCCCUAAGUUUUUGGUUCCCUCUUCAACAUUCACAGCAGCACUGUUGACAUGGUCUGCAAUGCUGUCAAUCUUCUCCUGCUGAGACUAGAUGCAAAGGAAUUAUGAGUGAGCGGUCCUGCUGGGGAGCAGCAGGGAGCCAACACACACUAUUUUAAUUCCUGUAAUCAGGGCCCUGGGUACUGCAGCCUUGCCAUCUUAAUAGUGGUUCAUUAAUAGCAUCUGAUAAGCCAUGUCGAAAGGACAAAUUAACUUUCAUAAAAAAAAGGGGGGGGUCUUAAUUAUUAGGUAAUAAAAGGGUGGCAACUUUACAGCAAAAAGCAUCUCACGCUAAAAUUCACUCAAACAUACAAACAUAUUAUUCUCCAAAUGAAUCUACUUUCCAGAAAAAAAAAAUCCAAAUAAGCAUUUACAUGUCAUGUUGGGUUUGAUGGAAAAAAAAAACCCAACAAAAUCAAACCCCAAAAUACCUCCCUAACUUACCUUCUUUGAGGAUUCAGUUUAAAUCAGGCACAUUUACCUUAGGAGUAAAAUGCCCUUGGUCCAAUAAAUACAAAUUGUUAUGUUUCAGGAACAAGACUACAAUACGGUUUGAUCUAUUAUGAGAUCUUUCCAUUUGUAAUAUGCAGUAGGGAACAGUGAAUGAAAUCACUGUUCUGUGCUUUACACCUGUGUAUCUUAAUACAUUUUAAAAUCAUGACAGUUUAAAAUGUUUCAGAUCAAAUAUAUUAAUAAAGCAUUCUACAUAAAAUGGCAACACCUGUGCUGGCACAACAGCAACUGUGACUCAUGGAAUCUCUGGGUAGAAGGAAUGUUGAGGUCAUCAGGUCAAUCUCCUCUCUGAUGUGCGAAGCCCUACUGUAACAUUCCUGACAAGUGGUUACUGAACCUCUGCUCAGAUACCUCCAGUGACACGAACUCAUUACUUGCUGUAGGAACACAUUCCCAUUUUUAAUUCAACUUUAUUUAGAUAGAAUUUACAUAUAACAAGUACUGCUUUUAAUGGUAUAGUAUGAUGAAAUUUAGCAAAUGUAUAAACCAACUAUCACAAAUGUAUAAACAACAAAUGUAUAAGCCAACAUAUAAUCAACCAUCACAGUUUACAGACUAUUUUGGUUUUGUUUUUUUAAUGUGCAGAAAAAAGAGAAUCUCUCUUUGAUCCUAGAUAGAUGCCACCUGCAAUGAGGGUGAAAUAAUUCAACUUUAAUCCUGAAGUGUUUGAUUGCCCUUAUAUAAUUGGCCUAUUCAUUUAUAUUGAGGCAGACACAUACAACACUUUUCUAAUUCCAACCAUUAUUUCAUUUGAAAACAUGAAGCCCAAACCACACAGCUACUUUUUCCCCAUGUUUGUUUCCUCUUAGCAUUACUGAUAUUACUUCCCUUCUCAUACACAAAAUAUGUCUAUCUUCGCCAUUGUGGUAUCCCUUCAUUCCAAUAUUCUCCACCACUAUCUUGACAUCUCUAAAACAAUGCCUAAGAAAGUCCCUUAUCAGUUUUCCUUUGAAUGUCUCUGUGAGAGACAACUUUAACAAUGGUUCUCAGUCUUCCACCUGGAGGCUUCUUAAAACACAGAUUGCUGGGCCUAAUCCCCGGAGUUUCUGAUCCAGUAGGCCUGGGAUGAAGCCUGAGCUAGUAAGCUCCCAGGUGAUGCUGAUGCUGCCAGUCCACAAUUCUCACACUUUAAGAACCACUAUUAUAUGUGCUCAGAUCAAGGGCACCACCUUUAGUCAGAUAAUCUGUGUUCAAAUCUCAGCAAACGCCACUAUGUGCUCUUAGACAAAUUACUCAAGCUCUCUAGGUGUUGGUAUUCUCAUUUAUCAAGUAAGAAUAGUGAUACUUAUACCUUCAUAGAGUUGAAGUGGGGAUAAAAUGUGUUUGCAAAGUGUGAGGGGGGAAAAAUAGAAAAAUUUAUCCUAAUUUCCCCAAGGAAGUGUUAACUCUCAUCUCUCUAUCAAAAAAUAUAUUUAACUUUUUCUUUCGGUGCUUGAAAAUUCUAGGACACUAAAACUUCAGGUAUCUUUUAGCAUUCAUUCAAUCAUUCAAUUUUUAUUUUCCUCAAUAGCAAAACUUAUUUAAGUCAGCUUUCUUUUUCUGACCCAUAGAAGAAAAAGUUCCAGCACUAAUAAUAUACAACUUGUCUAGAUUUCUGACACCCUAUCAUUGUUUCUAUUUAGGACACCCCCAACACUUUCCACUCUUGCCUGAAACAGUCUAUGCUAGCAGAUAAAUCACAGGCUUAAAACUCUACCAUCAGCCGUCAUAUGUUGAUGAGUUGAAAGGUAGAGGAAAAAUAGUCAGUGUCUCCCUUCCUUCAGCCCCAAAAUAAUUCCAGCAAGAGGGAGGAGCCUGCCAGGAUUAUUGCCAUUUCUAUACCCCAAGUGUAAUCGUAAAGCCUCAGGGAAAUACUUUCUAAUGUUCCUUCCUUUAAAAAGGGUUGGAUAUUGUACUUCUAUGACUUUUUAAAAAUUAAAGCAAAAUUUUAAAAUAAUUUAAAUAUUUUUUCAUAAAAAUCAUUUGGAAUAACUGAAGAAGCAACCACAGGCAAAAAACCAAUCCUGAGAUCACUAAUUAUUUGAACUACAAAGUUCCCCAUCAUUGCAAUCACCAGCAUUUGAUGAGGCCCAUCCCACCCUGGGGAGUAGCCCACAUCUAUAAGUAUUUAUUCAUGCCAUCAGAAAGCAUGCUAAGAUAUGGGGCUGGGGUGUGGGAAUAAGGCAGAGGGCAGACAGCCCCUAUCCUGGGAUCAAUAAUCACCCCUCGAUUGUGCACGUCUGCCUUUCUCUUGUCCGUAUUUUGCUUGGUUUGCAACUUCAAACUUUGCCCAUAUCUUCAAAUUCUGCUUCUUGAGUAAGGAGGACUCACUGACCCCCACAAAGGUUACAGUUAGGCAGCAAACUAUUGUCACAGAGUUGUCAAUUACCAUCAGCAGAAUGCCAAACCAGACUCCAUACAGAGCUGAAUUGGGUCACUACCUGUCCACUAUGUCCUUGGCUCUUUUUGUGGGACCAAAAGAUACAUAUACAACCCUGCCCCAGCCUGUGAAAUCAAGCUCUAAACAUUAAUGGUGGUGCAGGAGCCUCCUAACCUCUAUCUAUCAAUCUCCCCUGAGGUUUUGCUUCUGAUUUGCUCAUGUUUAUUUUCAUCUGCUUAGGCCUCCCACAUUUGACAAUCUUCAAAUUCCAUACCUGCCAUUUUAUAGUUUGGCACCCCAUAUAUGUUCUCAGCAUUCCUUUAACAAUGAGCUAAACCAUAUUUAAGUGUUUAGCUCAUUACACUGCAGUGUUUCUCAAGCUAGAGUAAUAUACUGACCUCCUUUUACAGAAAAAGAAAAUUCUCAAAUGACUCUAAGAAUAUGUCUACGGAUUUCAUUUUAAAGAACAUUGAAUUAAGUCCCCCUAUUGGCCUGAACAUAACAAAUCUUGACGAACAGCUAUAGGAGUACCUAAGUUUCUGUAUAAACUGUGAUUUAUUAUACUUGUCAAGCAGAAUGCAAUUUGGGAAUAUAAAUUCAAAACCAAUGAACUGUUUUGUUCUUGAAUGCCUGUUGGGGACACUUGUAGGCCUAGCAUCCUCUAUGUCAAGCAAUAAUAAUACAUUCAAAAAUUAACCCCCAAAUCCAUUUAUAUCAUUAACAGUGGUCUUCCAUAGAGAGUUCUGAUAGUAGUUGUAAAGUUUAAGGUUCUUGGAAAGCUACGAGUUUAUUUAAGAGGGUAAUACCAAAACUCCAGGUACGUCCAUUUAUUCCUCUCUAAAUUCCAGCCAGCCUUCAAGGCCAAGUUCUAAUCUUAGAUCUUGACCAAUCCUGUUCACAUUGAGCUAUUCUGGUUCUAAACUCCUAUGAUAUAUUCUAUAUACUCCUUAAUCAUAUGCAAUCAUAUACACAAAAAGGCCCAGAAACAAACUUAUAAAUACUAUGAUAUAUAGGCAAAAUAAGUGAUUAUAUUGGCUUCGAGUAAGCAAUAAGCAGAGUAGAUAAGUAGGAUGUUGCUAACAGAGGAUUCAGCAGUUGGAAAGGGACUGAAGGAAUUCCAGUACUAAAAUGCCUAAGGAUAAUAGUGGUGGAAAAAGUAGAAUUUUUGCAAGGAGCCAAACAAGGAAUGAAAAUAAAGGAAGGACAAAAGUGGGAAUGCAGUUGGGGUCAGUGGAAGGGAACAGAAUGGGAAGUACUUAAUAAUACACAUUACCUCAUUUAGUCCUCCCAUCAGUGUUAUAAAGCUCAUUGUUGUCAAAUAACAUCCUGAAGGUCACAUAGGUAAUAAAUGAAGGAAUCUGAUCUAAUCCAUUGCAACCAGUUUUUAUGUUUCCAGAGUAAAACUGGAUUACAAAAACGACAGGGAAUAAGGCAAAAGGCAGAAGUCAAAACAGACUAGCAGCAAGGGUGAGUUGUUACUGAACUACUGGCCCAGGGUUCUUUAAAUUCUCCUUGACUAGAAAUAGGGCUAGUUACAAAGUUAUAGGGAGAGAAGAGGGCACUUGAACAACAAAGGCUGAAGAAAAAUAGAGCAGGGUACCUAGUAGAUAUUAAUUUAUUAACAUUUAUUGUACUAUACCUUGAUCUGUCAAUGGCUUUGUAAGUUCUUUUUAUAGUGGUAAAAUAAAUAUAACAUAAAUUUACCAUUUUAACCAUUUUGAAGUGUACAAUUUAGUGGCAAUAAGUAACUUCACAAUAUUGUGCAACCACUAUUACUAUCUUGUAAGUUUUUUAAAUGCUUUUUUCUAUUCCUCAUUAAGCUUAGCACAGUGCUACGCAGAUAGAAAGUGUUCCUUAAAUACAUGGUUAAUUUGUCUAGACACUAUCAUGUCCAUGUGAUGAUAAUGAGAGGAUGUGGUCACUCUGGUUAUGUUCCUAGGUCAUUCUGUGCCUAAAUAGAGCUUCUGUGAAUCCUUGGCCAUGUGGUCAUGAGAACUUAGUCACCCUGGGAAUAAUAAUCAGGGGUUCUCCUUUGAGCUUUUGCUUAUUAGCAUUCUGUCUCAUGUACUUAAACAGAUUAUUACAAACAGGACAUUUGUAUAGAGCUGUGGCUACAGCCAGAGUUUUCCUACACAAAUCUCCCUUAGAUUAGAGGUUAUGAGCUGCUUACAUAAUAUAAUCAAACAUGUAACUAUCUUAUGGUCACAGACCUUUAAUAUUUCUUUUAUGUGCCUAUCCCAGUAGAAAAGAAAUGUGUUUGUACUGAGUAAGAACUUUGUACAUGUGUAGUUUGUUUUUUAAAAUCAGCUUUAUUGAGGUAUAAUUUACAUAUAUUAAAACACAUUUUAUGUGUACAGACCAAUGACUUUUGGCAAGUGUAUAUAUUUGUGUAACCAUACAUGUAUAGGUUUUACAAACUGCACUGGAUUCAGAG